CUUCCUGUUUGUUUUUAUGGUGUUUCUCCCUGAGCUUACCUCUUCAGGAAAUGAAAUGCAGCUCUACCAGGUUAAAGUCUUGUGAUCUAUUUGAGCAGCAUAAAACUCUGCAGGGUGUCUUUUUGAUUUGGAUCAUUGCUUUUGGAGGUAAUUUAAUGAUGUCUCCUCCCCGGCGUUUCACAGAUGAGUUUGUUUGUUUUGGAUUAUGUCCAACUCUUUUCCUUCUCUGCGCCGGAGGCUACUCUUGUUCUCUUCAGACCAAAAAACCUCGAACCUGUUUCCCAUCCCUGCAUUUCCUUGUUAAUUCCAGUCUGGUCUGAUUCUUACAUGCAGAUGACCUGAUGAGACGGUAACAACAUCAGCCCUGCCCUGUGGAGGUGGGAUGUGAUGCCAAGGACUCUUGUUUGGUACUUCUUUAAUCAAAUGUCUGUUGUUGUCUUUGUCCGCCAUGUUCCACUUUCAUACGAUCAGGAUCAACUUCAGUAAUGAAACCUACAAACCUACACAUACUGGCUUUAAAACAGCGUUUGAGCAGUGUGGAGCAGAACCUUUUGGAAGACUUUAGACUGACUGCAUUUAGAAAGUAUUUAUUUAUAUCUUUAACUUUUUUAUUUAUGAAGUUUACAAUUUUUUCUUGACAUUUCAACUAUAUUUUUGAAAUGCUUCCAUACAUUUACUCUUCCAUGCUACAUUCCUGCUGGUGAUGUAGGAGCCUCUUGACAUUCCUCAGAGCUGCAGCAGAGUGUUUGCCUGUCAUGUGUCUGCUCAUGUUGGGCGGUGCAGCAGCAGCAGCAGAGGCUGGUGUGUCUUUACACUCAGUCAGGUGUCUCAGUGGCUGAGCAGCUUCUCGAGGAGGCAGACUACUCCUUGCUUGUUCUUGAUUUCAUAUUUUUGGGGUGGUUUGAUAGAUCAGAGUUUUUUUUAUGGCUCACCUGCGCUCCUGCUUUUCAACACACAUACUUUUAUUACCUGGGACUUGACUCUGGCUGAAGCAGCCAGCUCACCGGCAUCUGAUCCCGGGACAGGAAGUCUGACUCCUGACAGGGACGACGUUCACGUCGUAGGAUAUGAUGCAUUACAGGUGACACUGGGCUUAAGCUGCCGCAUCGGAUUCCGAUUGAUUGAUCGAUGGGCCGGACUCGAUGUUGAGGUGGAUAGAAUUUAGUUGAUCGUCUGAGCCGAGUCACAGAUCAUGGCUGGGAGAGGGACGGUCGAUCUGGCCCCUUCAGCCGCUGUCAAGGUCUUCUCAGCAGGAACAGCUGGCUGCAUGGCCGACUUGGUCACUUUCCCCCUGGACACAGCCAAAGUCAGGCUGCAGAUCCAAGGUGAAUCCAAGCCCUCGGUGGGAGUCCAGAGGGCGAGGUUCAGGGGGGUGUUUGGCACCAUCUACACCAUGGUGAAGACCGAGGGCGCCAGGAGUUUGUACAGUGGACUGGUGGCCGGGCUGCAGAGACAGAUGAGCUUCGCCUCGGUGCGGAUCGGCCUCUACGACACCAUCAAGCAGGUCUACAGCCGAGGAUCAGAGAACGUAGGAAUCGGGACUCGGCUGCUGGCGGGCUGCACCACGGGGGCCAUGGCGGUGGUGCUGGCUCAGCCCACUGAUGUGGUCAAAGUCAGGUUCCAGGCUCAGGGUCGCCUGCCGGAGGGCGGCUCCGCGAAGAGGUACAGCGGCACCAUCGACGCCUACAGGACCAUCGCCAGGGUUGAAGGCGUCAGAGGGCUCUGGAAAGGUGUUUUCCCAAAUAUAACUCGUAAUGCCAUCGUGAACUGCUCCGAGCUGGUGACGUAUGACAUCAUCAAAGAGCUCAUCCUGCAGCACAAACUGAUGACAGACAACAUGCCGUGUCACUUCACCGCAGGCUUCGCAGCAGGUUUCUGCACCACCAUCGUAGCGUCCCCAGUGGACGUGGUCAAAACCCGCUUCAUGAACUCAGUCCCCGGGCAGUACAGCGGUGCCAUGAACUGUGCCCUCACCAUGCUCAUUAAAGAGGGGCCCACAGCUUUCUAUAAGGGCUUUGUGCCCUCGUUUCUUCGCCUGGGUUCCUGGAACAUCGUGAUGUUUAUGAGCUACGAGCAGAUCAAGAGAGCGGUGGUGAGGUUUCAGCAGACCUGCUAGUCCUCGCUGGCUCCUGGGUGACAGCUGCUGAGGCACCGGAGCGAUGAAGCAGGACCUUCUUAAAGAGAGAGAGAGAGAGAGAGAGAGUCUGCUGCCGGUCUGGACCUGCUCCUCCUCAGGGAUGAAACUGUACAUCUGCACUUACUGUACUGUCCAUGAAGAGGCCCUCGAAAAACUACAGGUGUACGUCGGCUUUGCUGGAGCAUUUUAACGAGUCAUCACAGAGACGCUGAGGUGAAUGAGGCGAGAAGCACAAAACGAUGAGCUGACAGAUGAGAAAAUUGCCCAAUUUGAGUCUUGUGGGACAAAAGAGGCUGCAGACAAAAGAUGUAACUGAAGUCUGUGGUGUCACAUGAACACGCUCCGCCUUGCUUGUCAUCUCCUGUCGUGCCAGCGAGGUUCCUCCAUGGUUGAACUGGUAUGACAAGCUUUUCCCGGGCCAUAUGGCACCCUGGGUAACCCUCACCCAGAGUCUAGCUGAGUCAACCAGGAGGGAAACUUCAAAGACAGGGAACUAGUGAUACAUUUUACAGGAUUAUGGUAAAAGACUUCAAAUAUGUCCAGUUAAAUGUGAGGAUGAGGAGGGGUAAUGGUCAGAUUAUAGAAAAGAGGAGUUAAUGGUCCUUUGCUGACGUUGGCAGGACUUUGUGCUCGCUAAUGACCGGAGAUAUCAAGUUUCUGGGAAGUUCAAGUUCGCGGUUCUGUUCAGUAUUUUUCUGACACACAUGCUCUCACCGGUCAUGUUGUCUUUUGUUCAAUCAGCUGUUUACAAUCCAUGUCAUUGUUCAUUUAUGAGACCGAAGCGGUUCCCUCCUUUACGGUAGUAAACUAAUACAUUUAUAGAAGAGGAGUUUAGCUGAGUAACUCUUAAUGCACAAAAUGAUAACUAUUUGGGAAUUUCGGUCAAUAAAAGCAAUUGAUGGAGCAUGGUCAUGGACAAAGUUCUUCAUCAUUAAUUUGGGGGCCAUCGUUCAUUUUGCAGAUGCAGUGGAAACACAGGUAUUUAUGAUUUUUUUAUUCAACACAGAAUUCUUUCUUCAGGAUUGUUGAACAGAUUCGAUUUCUCUAUUAGUCUCGUAAGCAUAAAAAAUCCUAAUUAUUGUUAUUUAGAUGGAACUUCAAUCUUAUAUUAAAUGUAUCUUCCUUGUCUCUAAAUGCAGCCUCCUCAGUGUUACAGUAAAAGAUGUAUAGUGGUAGACAUCUUGUAUUUUAAAGAGUUUUGGUUAAUUUAGAAAAUCACAAAUUUCAAUAAGACAAACCGGUUUUUAAAAAAAGUUUCUGCAUCUCCAGAGUUUGUGUUGGAUUGGCUUGAAAUUAAGACUCAUAAAAAUACAGUCACGUUGACAAUUUCUAACCAAAACGUUCAGACUGGAUCAAGCGUCACUGUGGCGCCUGUUGAUGCCUCCUCUGCUUCACCUCCAGUGGCUCAAGACGGACGAGGACUGUCGGCCGCUUGGGGCCUCGUCCGUACUCUCCUGGACAAAAAGACUGAAAACACUUCGGUAAGUGUGGUAUGGAUAGAUAUCGGGCAGAGAAUCCAUGGUCACCAAAGGGCAGGAGAGCAGGGUGGCAGCAGGAGGGUAAGACGACAGCUGUGGUUAGACUGCACACUGCGGGGAGGCAGGGGUUGUAGACCUGCUCAGGAAAGAGCACUGAGAAACCCUGAGCUUCAGGGUGAAACUCUCUGAGUCUUGUUGUCUCUUCAUGUUGAAUCGUUUCCUCGAGUUUCUUCACCUCGAUCAACCUGAUGUGAUGACGUCUGCGCCGUUUGAGGAAAGAAUCCAAGAAAUGUUCCAUAUGCAUUUUCCUUUCAGCAAACCUCUGAAAGAGCAGCUGUCAGGAGACAUAUUUCAUUAUUGACCAUCAAUAUAUUAAACCUCUCAUUAGCUUCUGACAUUUUAAUGGUCUUGGCUUAAACCUGGUUGAUUUAGAUCUUAUUUAUCCGCUCUCCUGUUUCUCAGGUAUUGUCGUUAAGCCCAAAUGUUGCUGCUCUUCAAUCCUUUAAAGGAUGGUGGGUGUAAAAUCAUAUUACCUGACAACAGCUGGAUUUGACAGCUUCUUCUUUGAAACAAAUUAAUGUCAAGGUGCUUGAAUACAUCCUGACAUUAAGACAUUAUUAAUAUUUAAAAUUACAUUAGAGGCCAAUAUGCUGACUUUUAAAACAGAAGUGCAUCCUUACCUCACACUCCUCCUCUGCAUGAUUUAUCUUUUUCAGGAGACACAGUUGUGCAUAGUAAACACUGUAUUUCUCUGCUGCAGAAGGAGGAGAAACUAUCUUCACAAUGGCAAUGCAUAUUCAAAACAGCCAUAAGAGAAAAAAAAACUAUCAUAUUACAUUUAAGAACUCACCGAGUUGUUCUUGUUUGGCCUGUAUGAUGCUUCUGCGUCUUUCUAGUUCCUUGUAUUUCAUCGCGAGCAGCAGCUUAGCAUCUGAGAAUUUUGGUUUUUGGGAAAGACUGAACUUUGCCAAUCUUUGAUUUGAAGCCAGUGUCUUCUCCACAGCAUUCUGAAGUCCCUGAAACUGGAAACACACACACACUUUCAAAACUCCUGAAAGUUUUGCACUUUAGCCAAACCCUGCAAGAUCUAAAUACACAAUGCAUACACGUACAUACACAUUAUCCAUAUACUGUAAGUGGAAAUAUGUCUUUCUGUCUCUCACCUUCUCACUGCAGCUGAUGAUGUGAUGUAUUUUGUCUUCGUCCUCCAGCAGCUCCCGCAGCUCUCUGGUCCUCAAACCUCGGAGCUGAACCUGCGGCAGAGACAUGAUGACCCUCGGCUCUGGGAGCUCAGGCUUUGGUACCUGAUGCAAAGUGAGCUGUCAAUGCUGCAUUCAGGGACUGUCGGAAAAUCCCCACCAAAGAUAAGACCAGAGCACAUAUGAGCUUUAAUAGAACAAAGGUUUCUUCUUACAAACAUUACUGUUCAAAAGUUAAACACAUUGUUCUUGCUCAGUAUAGCUAUUGUAUUUUGUAUGUAGGUGUAAAUUGAAAAUUCUGCUUUCUGGGUAAUUACAAACACAACAACUGAAAGUUAGAGUCUCUCUUUGUCCUUUUCUUCAUUUAUUUGUGUUCAUUUUGUGCUUGAGAUCAUCCUCUGUCUCUUUUGGGUCAUUCUGUGUUUUUCUGUGGUUGUUUUAGUUCUUGAUUUUCAAAUAUUUUCAAUGCUGUUCUACAUUUUUCGAACUAGAAAUAUUUACUGGCACUUCUACAGAGGCAUAAACCACAUCACACAGGCAGGUGAUAAAUAAAAGAAUAAAACACAACAUGUAUCUAAACAAUA
RNA transcript from Pleuronectes platessa (European plaice), 5398 nucleotides. It is a transcript of the gene named mitochondrial uncoupling protein 2, with no coding region annotated. The transcript is spliced from 7 exons. NCBI's taxonomy places the organism in Eukaryota, Metazoa, Chordata, Actinopteri, Pleuronectiformes, Pleuronectidae. The record is from RefSeq and is a predicted model, not a curated record.